UUACAACGUGAACUCUGCUUUGCCUUGCCUCUGUGUGAAAUAACCUGACUUUGCUCUAACAAGCUGCAUCCUGUUUGAGGUAAGAAGAGCUUCAGGAAUGAAACAGCACAGGAAGCUAUUACUUGUAAAUGGCUUGCCCAUUGCUUUCAAUGGUAGUAGUAGCAGAACUGCUGAGCACAUUGUGGCUUGCUCUGUUUUGGAAGCACAUUGAGCAGAGCUCACAUCCUGGAAACUCCCCAGCUGUUACUGGAAAUGUAUUUAGAAGUUGAUGUUCAUAACGGACCUGCAGAUUUCUCCCUUCCCCCUGCCUUGAUUUAACAAUUUUAAUGGACAGGCUGUCUCUGAUAGAAGAAUACAGUUCAUCAAAAGUGUCUGCAGGUUGUCAAACUCAGCGAGAUUUGGGGAUACUCGGAGGCUGUCAUGGCCAACAAGAAGAUUUUCUGUAGGGUUUUGCCAUCACUCACCCUCAGGAAAUAAUCACUCACUACAUUCUGCAUGCUCUCAUGAUAGAGCUCUAUUUGAGAGAAAAGAGCCAUUUUAUCAAAGGACAAUAUAUCCCUUCUCUUGGUCCACGCAGCUUCCAUUAUCAGGCCAUAAUAAAUCAUAUUUAUGGUCUCAGUUAAUAAGACUGAUUACAAUGCAGGUUACAGACAUGGGAAAAGCAAAGCAGGUGAAAAGAUGUUUUAAUGAAAAUAUGAUAAGAAAACAGCUUCUUCUGAACAUUUUAGGCUAUUAUUUGUAAUGAUCACAGACAAUUUUUGAUGCAUCUUCUUUAGCAAUGGUUUAAGCUGCAUAAAUUGGCCUGCCAGUUUAUACAUUGGAAUAGGAAAAAUCAUGGUAUCCUUCUUAUGUUGUCUAGAAUCAUUAUAUACAUUAUAAGCAUAAAAUGAGUUUAAUGUAUGUGCUUUGAAAUGAAGGGGAAAACAGAAAAUCAGGGAAGACUGAUUUUAAUGUUGCUCAAAAUGAUUUUGAAAUUUUCUACUCAUCUUUGUUACUAACAGUGCAUUUUCCAUGAAAUUUAGGAAUGACAUGUACUGCUUUCAUCUCCUUAAAAUUAAUAUAGUGCUCUUUCUGCUUUUCUCAAUUUCUUCAAAGUUUUUCUUAGAGCACUGUACAGAGAGACAAAGAGAGAUAUAUUCUCCACUCAAUGUGUGCACAUAGCUGCUAUUAAUGCUAAUGUGAGUUAAGUGUGUACUUCCUGAGGAGAAUA
Long non-coding RNA from Alligator sinensis (Chinese alligator), 1210 nucleotides. RefSeq lists it as uncharacterized. The transcript is spliced from 4 exons. The record is from RefSeq and is a predicted model, not a curated record. Lineage: Eukaryota; Metazoa; Chordata; Crocodylia; Alligatoridae.